Molecule: long non-coding RNA, 16024 nt
Filed under: Cucumis sativus (cucumber)
Lineage: Eukaryota; Viridiplantae; Streptophyta; Magnoliopsida; Cucurbitales; Cucurbitaceae
Description: long non-coding RNA (CSAT_LNC001995)
Source: RNAcentral
ACAUCUCGCUACGAAAUCCAUCUUCGGAAUAAUGCUUCGGGAGCUUUUACUCCUGCCAAACGCAUCCAAGCUUGUUUUUGAUGGUAGUAGAAGAGGUAAACCUCCAAACACCAUCUUACCAAGUUCAUUUGUUUUAACUUUGUUUGACUAAUGAAACUAAAACUUCAAAAAGGCAAAAAAAAAAAAAAAAAAAAAAAAACUAUAUAUAUAGUGAUUCUAGAAUAAGGUUUGUAGCAGAUGAUCAACAGCAACAACUUGCUUGUAUGUUUAGGAUGUUAGAGAGGCAAGAUGAACUAAUUAUGAUGUGUAAUAGGAUUAUGAAAAAUACUUGAGUGUGUUAGAAAAUUGUCAGUUUCUUGACACAGAAGUAUUCGUUGACGAUGGUUUUAAAGAUGAAGAAUGAGUGGCAGGGAAAUUUUCUUUGCUUCCAUACAUCCCUGUUGGUGAACUGCAAGGUUUGAGAGUUUGUCAUUGUGUGUGUUUGAUUCAAAGGGCAUGAAAGAGGAAAACAGUUGAGUAAUGUCUGAUGUCUGUAAAUUAUAAUUUAAGCUAUGGUGUCACUUGUUCAUGUGUGUGCUUGUGAUGAAGGUGUAUUAGUAAAACCUUCAAACCCUCAGCUAAUUUCAUAAACAUUUUUCUUUUCUUCAUUUUUUCAUUUUUCAAUUCACAUCUCUACUGAUAUCCCAAGGAUAUAUAUAACAUAUUAGUUUUACUCAUGAAAAAUUUAUUCUCCAAUGAUACUCUCAUACUCUCAUGCUCUCAAACUUGAAUCGCCCUAAUGACUAAAAUCACAUUUUAGUCGAGGUUAUUUUUCUUUCGAAAUGGUAAAUUGCUUUUAAAAUUUAAACUAUUUUGAAACCUUGAAAACACGAUGGUAAUCAAACCAAAACUUUGUGACUUUCGACCAAAUUUACAUUUGAAAAUGGAGAAUUAAAGACUUACAUUGAAGAUAUUGUAAUUUUCUUUUGGCACAAUGGUAGCAAAUGGUAACUUAAACAAAAUGAGUCGAAAUGAAGGGAAAAAUCUGUCCAAGGAGGAUUGUUUUCAAGUGAGAGAGUCAAAAAACCAAAGGUUUGAGCAUGAGUGGCUAGCUCAUCACCUACUGUGGAAGAGAUGAGGAAUAGAGUAUAUGAAAGCUUGGAUGAUCUCGUUAGCAGAACUGGAAUUUCCAACAAAAGAAACUUACAAAUAAGAAGAGAACUUACAAAUAAUAAGAGAAUUAGUUUCUACUCAAAACAGGAAUAUAUUAGCCUCAAGACCUCUACAAAGGCCCUUGAUGGCCUUGGCAAGCUUAACAAAACCUGCCAAAGGAGUAAUUUUCUAAGGUAGGCAUUACAUAUCAACAUUCAAGUUCUAAAUAAUGGUGUCAAUCCCAAACAUCGCUGUUUAGAAACAUGCAUCAAAGUUGAGCUCAAAAGAACCUUGAGAAUUAGGAGCGAAAUGUAAUUAUAAAACAUAUGUAAAAUAAAUUCAUUUUCGCCCGAAUAAAACUAAUUUGUUUGAGAUUUCUAACUAUAAUUGAAUUUGCUACUUCUUUAAUUUUAUCGUAUGUUCAAUAAGGUCAUAUCUAAAAUAUAGACAUCAAACAGAGUAUGUCAUUGUAAUUGACAUUUUAAAUUUUUAUAGAAAGGAAAUAAUGAGAGAAGGAGGUAAGAAGGUAAGGAGGUAAGAGUGUAAGUUGUUGCAACAAUUUUGAGUAACUUCUCUGUUUGUUGAGUAUUUGAAUACUAAAGCAAAACAUUAUGAUAGCGGUACAUUUUCUUUAAACAAAUUUCUAAAUUUAUGAACUAGUUAAAGCUAGUUAUCCCUACAAAUUCUCAAUUUGAUAAACAUAAUCUAGAGUUGGAUGUAACAAAGAGAGAGAAAGAGAAAAAGUAGAUCAAAUGGCUAUAUACAAACAUAAUGAAGUGGGUUAAUAGAGAAACACUUUAGAUUUUCCAUUAAAGGGCCUCAUUAGUGAUUAAUUCACAAACCAAGUAAUAACUUUGAUUCUAAUAGACUAAAUAUCUCCUAAGAUGUUGGACAUAUGUUCAUUUCUUUAAAUUGUAAUUCACUUCUGUUUGUUGUAAGCAAAUAAAAUACUAUUCCAAUUUCAAAUUGAUCAAAUUUUGUAACUUAAUCCAAACAAAUCAUAAAAACUAUGGGUACAAAAGUUUUAAUUUUUUUUGUUAUAUUAAGUAGAACAAAAAUAAGCAAGGUAGGUAAGGUAAGUGAAAUUUUAAAAAAUAAAAUAAAAGGAUUAAAAAUGAUAAAGAUGAAGAAUUUGGUAAAGAGUGGGAGUUUGAAUUUUGUUGUAAACUGUGAGGGUAAGGUUUAAAAAAUUUGCUAAAUAUAAGCAAAGAUUUUCUUUUUAAAAUGAAAAAAAAAAACAGUAUGAGAAGAGCUUUGAAUGCUAACAAACAUGGUUAGCAACAAGAACCCAUUAUUUGUUAGUUCAAUUCUGUUGCCUCAAACUCCAACCACUUUUCAAAAAACUCUUUCUUUCUUCUUCAUAUUUCUCAUACUUUUAUUUUUCAUCUCUUCUUCUUUAUAAAAUCCACACAUUUCUUUAUCCACACCCAUAAGCUCUUUCAGCUCUUCCCAACAAAUUUCCCUUUUCCUAAAACAAAGCAAUGGCUUCCAAUGUCACCAUUUACAAUGAUGUUUUUGGUUCAGAUCAUGGGAGUUUCCUAACCCUUUGCUUGAAUACGCCUCCCAAGAUUAAUUCCGAUGGCAUUUGGGAAUUUGUUUUUGGGGCUGCUCGUAAACUUAGGUUUUCUCCUCUUCCAUUGUUGGAGUUUCAAAUGCUGCUUAUUUUCUUUGUCAAUAUCAUCCUCCAUUCCUUCCUUCGCCUCUUUGGUCUCCCUCUUUUUGUCUCUCAAAUAAUUGUAAGUCUCUCUCUUCCUCUUUUUCUAUUCUUUUUACUUCUUAUAGUCUUCUUCUUUUGAUUUUGUAUUUUAGAUUUCCUUAUUUAAUGAUGUGGUCUCUUUUGCUUUCAAUUAUAAAUAUGUGUAUUGCCUUUUCCACUUGGAACAUAUAUAUUAUGUUACACCAUGGUAGGAUAUCAAAAUUAUGCUAACGAAUUGGAAUUAGAAACCCUUUUGGUACGAGAAACCACUUAUUUCAUUUUCACUUUAAAAAUUGGUUUCACACGAAUUCCAAACAACGAUACAACUUACAAGAAAUGAUGAUUGAUGAAAUUUAAGAAGCUAUUCUAGCUUAGCUUAAAAGGAAAAGCCCAAAGGCUUAUUCAAUUUAUCAUUUUAUAUCAAACAACUUAAUGGAAGACUUUAAAUAAUCUCCGGAUCAAAAUCUUAAUGCCACAUCUUAUAUCAUAUCAUAGUAAAAUGACAAAAAUACCCCUAUGAUAAAAAAAAAGUUAAAAUUGGAAAACACUAAGAUUGCAUCAAAAUUAUUAAAUAUAAUAUAGAUAAUAACUUGUAACUUAGAUUAAUGUUUGAGUUUAUUCAUGAUAAGAGAAGAUCAUUGAAUGUAUGGAGAAGUAAUAUUUUAAGCUGAGGUUUCGAAUGUGAUGAUGAUUUAGCUUGUCUUUUCUCUGCUUCUUUUGUUGGUGCUUCGCCACAGACUGGCUUGAUACUUGGAUCAUCAUGGAGGGGAAGUUUUGAAUCAUUUGACAACUUCAAAGAUGGUGUAUUUGCCACUGCAUCACAAGAAAUAGUGGGUUUGCUGGCAGGAUUUGGGUACACACUUUUUGUGUUUCUUAUUGGAGUUAGGAUGGAUUUAAGUGUGGUUAAAAGAUCAGGAAGGCAAUCUUUGAUAGGUGGUAUUUUAUCAAUAGUUAUUCCUGCAAUACUUGGUUCGUUGACAGCAUUUGGUUUAUCAAGAUUUAGUAAGACACAUGGAACGGCUGACAUGGAGUUUAUAGCCGCACACCAAUCAUACACUUCAUUUGCUGUUAUGGUUUGCCUUCUUGACCAUCUCAAAAUUCUGAAUUCUGAAGUUGGUCGUUUGGUACUUUCUACUACAAUUGUAGCUGAUUUGGUGGGUCUGAGUUUCUCCUUGAUAAUUACUGUUAUUGAAAAUGUUCGAAGCCAGGGUGCUUUGAAUGGCUUGAUGACUUUUGCUAUGGCGAUUGGAUCGUUGGUCCUUAUUGUGUUUUUGUUUCGUCCUGCGAUGCUCUGGAUUGUUAGGUCUACACCAAGUGGGAGGCCUGUGCCGGAUGGAUACAUAUGCAUCAUCAUUCUAUUGGUGCUUGUAUCUAGUGUAACUUCUAACAUUAUGGGACGAACCGUUUAUUCAGGACCAUUUAUCUUGGGUUUGACUGUGCCUGAAGGACCACCUUUAGGAGCCAGUCUAGUGAAGAAACUGGAUAGCAUUAUUACAUCGGUUUUCGUUCCGCUCUUUGUCACUAUUUCUGUGAUGAAGGUUGAUCUUUCAUUCCUUUACUACGAUGGAGAAUUUUUGAUCCAUUCUAUUAUUGUGAUCUUUAUAUCCAGUAUUGGAAAAUUGGCUGUUUCUGUUGGUACUGCUCUAUAUUUCAAGAUGUCUUCUCAUGAUGCCUUGGCAUUUGGCCUCAUAAUGUGUAGCAAAGGCAUUGUAGAGCUUGCUGCUUGCUCUUACUUUUAUGACAGCAAUGUAAGGGUUUACAUAACAUUAGAUUUAUAUAUAUAUAUUUAUAUUUAUACAUAACAUUAGAUUUAUAAGUAACUUUUGGUCCUUUUGGUGUGAAAUUUGCAGUUAUUAUAUGAGCAGACUUUUGCAGUGUUAAUUGCUGAUAUUUUGAUUUUCUCGAUACUGAUGCCGAUGGUCGUGAAAUGGUUCUAUGAUCCUUCAAGAAAAUAUUCUCACUACCAGAAAAAGAACAUUCUCAAUUUGAAGCCUGAUGCUGAGUUGAGCAUACUAGGAUGCAUUCAUACGCAGGAUGGUCUUCCUGUUUUGCUUAACCUUCUCGAUGCAUCAUGCCCGACCGAGGAGUCUCCUAUUUCUCUGUAUGCUCUUCACCUUGUAGAAUUGGUUGGUCGAGCUACGCCGGUUUUCAUCACACAUGAGCUUCAUGAACAAAAAAGUUCAUCCGAAGUGAUGGUCUCAGAUAGUAUUAUUCAAAUGCUUCGCAAGUACGAAAUGAGGAACGAAGGUGUUGUAUCGAUUGAGGUAUUCACAGCAAUUGCUCCGAUGAAACUAAUGCACGACGACAUCUGCACCGUAGCGGUUAAAAAGCUCACUUCCAUUAUAAUUCUUCCAUUUCAUCGAAGAUGGACAAGAGAAGGAUUCGUGGAUUCAGAGGAUAGCACAAUAAGGGCAUUAAAUUGCCAAGUCCUUGAGCGAGCACCGUGCUCAGUGGGAAUCCUCAUUGACCGUGGCCAUCUUUCGAGCUAUCGUUCGUUUGGAGGUUCUUGUGCAUCGUUAUUACAAGUUGCAAUGGUUUUUCUUGGUGGUCAAGACGACAGGGAAGCAUUUUCGUUUGCUAGACGCAUGGUUAAAGAGGUGAGUAGUGCUCAACUCACAGUGAUACGGUUAAUUGCAGAAGAUGAGAGCAUAAGCCAUUGGGAGAUGGUUCUUGACACGGAACUGUUGACGACGACGUGAAGCAUAGUUUUGUAGGGGGCGAACCUUUCAGAUAUGUGGAAAGGAGAGCGGAUGAGGGAUCAGAGACAGCAACAAUAAUAAGAUCUAUUGGUGAUGAAUAUGAUCUUAUCAUAGUUGGAAGAAGAGAAGGAAUUGAUUCACCACAAACUUUCAGGUUUUUGAUGGAAUCUGGAAUGAGUUUCCUGAACUUGGGAUCAUUGGAGACAUGCUUGCCUCUGCUGAUUCACAUUUUAAAGCCUCCACCUUGGUGGUUCAACAACAACAACAAUGGUCAUUCUAUAAACAAUGAUCAAUCAAUUACAUCCAUUUUUAGUGUUUUUAUUUUGGUAUAAUUUAAGAGCAAUACUUGAGUGUAUUCUUGGUUGUACCCGUCUUUCUGCAACACACUCCAAUUAUACCCAACAAAAAAAAUUGAGAAACUGUAAUUGGGCGAUAAAAAGAGUUGCAAAAAGAUAGGUGGAGCUAAUGUUGUACCAACAUUCUUUUUUUCAUUCAUAUUUUAAUGUAUCAUAGUUUUAGGCCAUAUUGUUGAUUGGAACAAAUCUAUUUUUUACCUUUAUGAAGUUGUUCUUUACAAGGUGGUCUUCAAUUAAUAGUGUGCUCCCCUUGCUAUUUAUCUUCAAAAUGGCAAAACACACAUACCUAUGUGAAUACAAAUUCAUUUUCAUUUUCUUUUUCAUGUAACAAUAUUUUUAUAUAUGAGUGAUUUCUUUUAUACUAAUUAACAAAAAUAAUAAGGUUGAGAAAUAGACGUGGAAUAACUAAAGGAAAGACUACACAGAAAAAUUUUACUAUGUGAAAAGUUAUUUUGACCCCAAUUAUAAUAGCACUCUUUCAAAGUAUUAUAUCACUGCAUUAGUAUUUCCACGCUUAAUAUGUUUCAAUUGAAACUCAAAACUUAUUUUACAUUGCUUUGAAGCUCGUUACUUUCUUGAACUUUUUUUCGAGGUAAAACAACUACAUUUCUAACAUUUUAUUAAAACUUAGCAAAUUCCACCUUCACUUCUCAUUCUCCUUUCCAUCGACAAAAGUUGACUAGUACCUUUAACAAAACUUAAAGUUUUCUCUUUCUUAACAUCAAGAUUUGCUUCAAGUAUUCAUAAAGAGGGGAAGUGACAAGAUGUAUUUGAGUGUGGUAUCUUCAUCAUUUAUCUUCACUCCAAUCAUCUCUAGACGAUGUCAUGCAUUGAGAAUAACGCUAGAUUGAUAUGAGUUUUUGUAACUUCUACCAAUCCUAGUGUGAUUUGCUUCUUGAUCAUGUACAAACAUUGAGAUACUCUUUUUUCUUCAAGCUUCUCGGUUUAGGAUUUAAGGUUUAGUAUUUAGUGAGAAUAACUAAAUUUGUCUACGAAGAAUUUCAAGAAUUCUUUCAUGAUCCCAAAAUUUAUACAAUGCAACAAACACUCCGCAUACUCAGAAAUUUAAGAAACUACAAAACCCUAAAGCUUUAAUGUUACUUUUACUACCACACAAUAAACAAAUAAACUAACAAAGAAAGUCAUAAGAUAGGGAACACAAGAAUUAGCAUGAGAAAAUCCAACCAUUCAAUAAAAAUAAUUGUACUAUUUGAAAAAUUAUUACAAUCCCAUACUCUCUCCUAGCAUUGUAUCAUUGACACGAUUGAGCUAGUAUAUUAAACUUAAUUAACACAUUUCAAAUUGAGAUAAUUUGAAAACUAAAGAACAACUCCUUUUAUACAGUGUUUGAUAGUAUUGAAAACUUGUUAUCGAAUCCCGCUUAAUUUUGAAUUGUUCUUAGAUUUUAUAUUCAUGUUGGAUCAAUAUGGCAACUCUAGAGGGGUGAAUAGGGUUUAAUUAAACUUUUUAAUAAAUAUGUCCAAACUAAAUUAAUUAGAUAAUUUUUGAAUUAAAUACAAAACUUUAGCUAAUUUAUGUUAAAUAACAAGAUGUUAGAUUUAUUUUAAAUAUAAUAUUAUCAUUAAUGUAGCGCAUUAUAGGUCAUUUUAUAUUUUUGGAGCCAUUAUUUUAUUAGGCCUAUUACAUAAAAAGAUAAUGCCCUAAUUAAACACGGUGUAUAUCUAACUCUUCCCAUCAAGAAAAUUAAUUAUGUUAAGAGAGGUCAAGUGAGAGAAACACAAUCUUUUAGAAGACCAUUCAUGGAUCAAGGUAUAUGAUUAUUUAUCUAAGUUUAAUUUUUAAAAUCAUCUAGUUCAAAUAUCUUGGCACUUAUUGUUAUAUACAAUGCUAGAGUUUUAUUGUAUAAUAAUGAAACUAAAGUUUAUACAAGAUUGAUAAAAAAAAAAUGUAUAAUAAAAUAUAGAAUCAAUCUCCAACCAACAAAAAUAUGCAACUAAAAUUAAAUGAAAAAAUAAUUAGAAAAGAGUUAGGAAAGAAGACACCACAAUUUCAUAGUGGUUCAGUCAAACUCGACCUACAUCCACUUUUCCAAGCACUACUGAAGAUUUUGAUUAAAAACCUUAUUUUGCCUCUUUCCACAAAUAAGAAUCGAAUCGUUACUAGCUUCUUUUUCGGGUUUAAGAACAAACCUAAUCCUUUCUAUGGGUUAGGAUCCGACCACCACAAUAUGUUGAAGCUUUAAAUCACACAAAAGAAAACACUAUAAGAAGGUGAGUGCAAUUUUUGAGUUCACAACAAUUAAUCCUCAUACUACAAUACAAUAAGAAUUCUACAGGGAUUAUUAGAAGUUUUAGAGAAAAUAAGAAGGGUGACUUUUCAAUUUUUUUUAGAAUUACAAAAGUAAGAGGAAAUUAUUAAGAUCCAAGUUAUUUUUUGGUUAGAGGUAAGUAAAAUAAAAUAAAAUCAUUGAGAUUUAAACUAUAGUCAUUAGACACAACCGCAUACAAUAAUAUAAUAAUAUAUCAUUUUAAAAAUAAUUAUUUUAAAACUCAAGUUCACCAAUCGUUUUAAAGAGCUGGUCUUUAUAUACAUAAAUAAUAAUUUAAAUUUAUUUUCUUUUUCAAAGCCAAUAAAAUAAAACAAAAUUGAUUUGUGUUACUCCUCCUUCUUUCUUUAAUUUUGGUUAUAUUCGAUUAUUUGACCGCCACAUCACCAUCUCAGAUUUUUUUUGUUAAGAUUUUUUUCGUUUGAACUCCGAUUUUCGUGAUUCAAAAGGCAUCAUAAUGGUUGUUCUGAGCUCUAUCUUAUGAACUAUUUAAAAUAAUAAAAUGACCAUAUUUUAAAAUAGCAAAAUAAAUUAAAAUAUUUACAAGCUAGAAAUUUUUUUUGGAUUCUAUCAAAAAUAGAACUGAUAGACUUAUAUUAUUGACUAUCAAUGUAUUUUGUUAUAGUUUAUAAAUAUUUUGUCAAAUUUGUUAUUUUUAACAACUCUUCAUAAUAAAAUUAUAUAUAUAAAAAAUUAUAUUUAUUACUAUCAAAACAUUAAUUAAUUAAUUAAAAUUAAUUAAUCUCAGAUGAUCAAUGGCUAAAAGAACAGUUAAUAUAGAACGAGACUUCAACCUAAAAUUACAAGAACGAGAACAAUGAACUUAGAAGAGAUAACACAUGCACGCAAUGCAACACAAUCUCAAAGGAGACUUCAACCUCACUUUUGUUUUUUUUUGUCUCCCAAAAGAUUUAAUUAGUUAGACAACUGAUUUAAUGCACUAAUAGUCUCUAUUUUGAAUUCUCAUAUAAUAACUUUUUUUUGUAAGAUUAUACAAUUCAUUAAAGUUUAAUUAAAUCAUUUUAAAGGAGUUGGAGUUUAUGUGUAGCUCUUAUCUAAUUUAGUUCUUUAUUUCUUCAAUUUUUGUUACAUGCACAAUAGUAGUUUAUUUAGUUUGCAACAAUUUGUGAUGUUUAGAGAUGUUCAAUAAUAGAUGGGUUGGACAUAGCAACAGACCCACACCUAUUUUAUUCUUCUUCCUUCUAAAAUUCUUCACUUGAGAAGUUAGAGAUGGGAGAAAGAAUUCAUUUCUUUUUAAAAAAAAAAUCAAUUAAUGGAAACCAACAACUAUUGAAAACUGAUAAUUAAACCGUUAAAUUUCUCACUUUUAUUAAUAUAUAUAAUUUUAGUUUACUAACAAAUUAUUCAAAGUUCUAAUCUUAUAAAAUAUUUAUACACGAUAUAAAUUUAAAUAUUCAAUUCCAUGUUAUUUUCUCUCUUUUUUUUCUUUUUUUAUGCGGAAAUGAAGUCAGUGGGCCCAAUCAAAAUAUAUUAUUAUUAUUAUUAUUAUUAUCAUCAUCAUCCUUAUUAUUAUUAUUAUGUUUAUUAUAAUUAUUACAGUAUUAAAAUUUUAAAAUAACAAAAUCUAUGUAAAAAUUAUUACUUAAAAAAUUAUUUUCUUAAAAUUAUAAAAAUAUUUUACUUAUUAUUCUUCAAUCAAACACAUAUAUAUACUCAAAAGACAGUUAGUUUGUUAUUGAUUUAUAUCCUAUCUCAAUUUGUUCACACACAAUUAGUUUGUUAUUGAUUUAUAUUCUAUCUCAAUUUGUGUUUGGUAUUGAUUUAUAUCUCAUCUCAAUUUAUCUUUCCAUCUCCUAUUACUUUUUUUUUAAUAACAAAUCAUUUCUAAUUUGUAUGAAUUGGAAAUUAUUAAAUAUUUUUGUAACAAAAUUGAACAUUAAAAAAUUGAAUCUAUACAAUAUCAAAAAUUAUAAAGUUAAAAAAAAAAUCAUCAAAAUAUCAAAAGAAGAGUUAAAUAUAUUAAAAAUGAAAUUAAACAAUAAAGUUACCACUUACCUUCCUACUUAAAUAGUUCAUUCCACUAAUUUUUUUUAUAAUAAUAAUAAUAAAACAACAACAAUAAUUUAUAGCUAGUGGGACCCACUCCACAAAAUGACAAAAAAAGAAAACACCAAUUUUCCCUAAAUAGUUUUGAAGACACCUAUUUUUUCCAAUCUUUUUUUAAAAUCACCACAAUUUUUCAAAUCAACCAAAUUAAUAAAACACCUUAGGACAAUUUGGGAAUAAUGAAUAAACCAAAAAUUGGAUUCUAAUCGGCAAAAACUAGGUGAAAUAUGCCUUCUAAUAUUAUUUUGUAUUCCUAAUUGGCCACUUUUUGCAAAUUCCUUAAAUAAAUAUGCAUAUAAUCAAAUUAUUAACUAAGUUCGAUAAUAUGCAACUAUAAUUAAUUAUAUAAUUAAGAGUUUAAAAAAAGAAUCGCUGAAAAAUAGUAAAUUUGACAAAAUAUUUACAGGUUAUAGUAAGAUUUCAUAUUCUAUUUUUGAUAGAUAUUGAUAUCCUUUUAUGAGUAGUAUUGAUAGACAGUGAUAAAAGUAUAUCAGUUUCUAUCCGUGAUAGAAUCCAAAAAAUUUGCUAUAAAUUGUAAAUAUUUUAAUUUAUUUUUCUAUUUUAAAAAAUGUCUAUUUUUUAGGGGGUUUUGGUUUUCCAAAAGGAGAAAAAAACAAAAUAUUUACUCUAUAAAAGAACUACUAAAAUAUAAAAUUUAUUACAAUUGAUUUUUUUAUACCGUGUAAAUAUUUUGUCAUUUUUUUUAUUUUUAAAAUAGAAAAUAGAAAUACCAUCUUUUAUUUUUGGCGAUUAGAUACGGAAAAGUGUCUUUUUUAGUUGAAAUAAAAAGCAAAAAUAAAAAAAUUGAUGUAAGUAAAAAAAUUUAUAUACUCCUCUAUUUAUACUAUAAAUUUUUAACGUAAGAAUCUUGUUAAUAUGUAGUUUUGCUAAAAUGAAUAAACAAUAUGUAGUGGUAAAUUUUAAAAAGUAAUAAUACUAAAGAUAUAUAUCAUAAAGCUUAAAUGAGUAUUUCUUUAUAUACAAUGUUUUUUUUUAUUAUAUUUUUGUUCACACGAGAUUUCGAAGAAAUGUAUUUCGUGGAAUUGAACUUUGAUAUAUUGAUGAAUAUUGUAGAUACAAUCUCUAGUAUUUACUUCUUUGAUGCUUUCUCUCGAAUACAAGUUAAAACUUAGAACUUCUUGAUCUUAGGUCUUCAGGAUGUUGUUGUUGCAAGUCGAUUUGAACUUCGAUCUUCUGAAAUUCAAGAAAAGUUUAAUCUUUUAAGUUUUCAGUCUCUCAGAAGUUGUUGAUCUCAAGAUUGAUACAAACUUGCACGUCUUGAGAGCUUGUAGAAGUUUAAUUCUUCAAUGCUUCAGAGCUUCAGUACUUAAGAGCUUCAAUUCUUCCUUCAACCAAAGACUCCCAUUUUAAAUGAAUGGCAAUAGUCUCUAUUUAUAGGAAAAUUUCAUGGGUUUUAGAUGGGUUUGGGCUCAUUUGCUUGUUAGACCCAUCUCUUCUUGGACUUGGACUUGAGCUCAUUUGUUUGUUGGACCUGAAUUUGGUUGAGUUGAGUAAACUUAAUUAUCCAAACUCAAACAAAAGUAUAAUCAUCACCAUAUUUACUGUGAUGAUGUGACAUAAUUUAGUUGGUUAAAAAUUUUUUUUCAACAAAUGCCCCUUUUUGAAAUUUGUGCAUGUUUACAUGGUGGGUGAAUCUCGAAAACGAUAAGCUGAAACAAGUGAAUUUGUUCUUGUAUUUGGCGCUAGUUAAUAUGUCAAUUUAAUCAUAAUAUGCAUUUGGACAUAAGUGUGAUUAAAAUGUUAUAUAAAGUUUGGUGAAUUUUAAGUUUAAUUCACAUUUUUUUUUGUUUACAUUAAAAAUCAUUUGGAAUAUGACCAUUUGUUUUUAAUGAAAUUGAUUUUUUUUUUUUACCGAUGAAUUUAAUGAGAGAGUUGAGAUUUAAAAUUUAAAAUUGAUAAAAUUGGGAUAUUGCCAAGUCAUCAAAAUAUGAAUUUAAGUCAGUUUUUUUCUUCUUAUUUUGAAUUUGAAAUAAAUUAAUGAUUUGGGGUAAAGUUUAACACUUUUACAAAACCAAACAAGAUUUAGGGAUUUUAUUAUUAUUUUUGUUUAAAUAUAAAAAAAUGGAUUUAAUUAGGAAAUAUCUUUUCAAAAGAAUUUUUUUUUAAUUAGUUUAUUUGAUGCAUUUUUUAAAUAAGGAGAAAGAUUAGGAAUUAAUCCAACUCCUAACUAAAUCUUAACUCCGAACUCAAUCUCCAUUUUGUUGAGAAGUUUGGUUGAGAUUUGGCACCUUCCCUACUUUAUAAAUAGAAAAGAAUGAGUGAAAACAAAAAUCACAACACUUCCUUCGCACCAUUUCUCUCAAGGAUUCUUCUUCAAUUUUUUUUUUUAUUCUUUCUGUUUUAAUUUUCUUUUCUUUUCUUUUUCUUCCUUUCUUAUUUUUUUCUUAUAUUUUUUUCGAUUACUUUUCUUAAAAAGAAAACUUUUUCUUUCCUUUUCGUUUUUUUCUUCAUUUUUCAAAUACUUUUUUUAAAAAACUUUCUUUUUAUGUUUUCCUUUGUUUUUUUGUCUAUUUCUUUAUUUCUUUAUUUUUUUAUAUAAUUCUUUUUUUUCUCACUUUUUAUCUUUUGAAGAUGGAGCACACCAAACUUGAUCGAACACGAAAAUGAAGAUGGAGAUCAGAUCGGCUAUGGCACAUCGAAGACAAAAAUAGAGAUGGAGAUCCGAUCGGCUGCAGCACAUCGAAGACGAAAAUGGAGAUGGAGAUCCAAUUGGUUGCGACACAUCAAAGAUGGGAAUGAAGAUGAAGAUCUGAUCGAUUGCGACACAUCGAAGACGGAAAUGGAAAUGGAGAUUCGACUGACUGCAUAUGGAAGACAAAGAUGAAGAUGGAGAUCUGCACAUCAAAGAUGGAGAUGGAGAUUCUGAUGGUUGUGGCACGUCGAAGAUGCAGAUGGUGACUACAGCACAUCGAAGAUGCAGAUAAUGAUGACCACAUCGAAGAUUCAGAUGAUGACGAUUGCAACACAUCGGAGAUGCAAAUGGUGACAACAACGACACAUCAAAGAUGCAGAUGAUGACCACUACAACACAUCAAAGAUGCAAAUGAUGACCACUACAACACAUCAAAGAUGCAAAUGAUGACCGCUACAACACAUCAAAGAUGCAGAUGACGACGACUGCAACACAUCAAAGAUGCAGAUGACGACGGCUGCAACACAUCAAAGAUGCAGAUGACGACGGCUGCAACACAUCAAAGAUGCAGAUGACGACGGCUGCAACACAUCAAAGAUGCAGAUGACGACGGCUACAACACAUCAAAGAUGCAGAUGACGACGGCUACAACACAUCAAAGAUGCAGAUGACGACGGCUACAACACAUGGAGAUGGAGACUCUGACGGCUGCGACACGUCGAAGAUGCAGAUGGUGACAACAACGACACAUUAGAGAUACAGAUGGUGACAACAACAACACAUCGGAGAUACAGAUGAUGGCGACAACAACACAUCGGAGAUACAGAUGAUGGCGACAACAACACAUAGAGAAGAUGAAAAUGAAUCAUCUCAAAUGUAACACGUGGGAGAAGAUGAAUCCUCUCGGUUGUAACACAUGAAAAAGAUGAAAAUGAAUCCUCUCGGCAGCAACACAUGAAGAAGAUGAAGAUGAAGAUCCUUUCAGCUACAACACUAUGAAGAUGAAGAUCCUUUCAGCUAUAAUUUUUGAGAGAAGAUGAAGAUGAAGAUCCUUUCACGUGCAAUACUUGAGAGAAAAGGUAGAGCUCGCUAUUUUGACUUUGCCUCCUUUGCCCCCUUUCUUUUCUAUUGUAACUGCUCAUGAAUUUCAUUUUCUAUUGAGAUUAAAUCAUCACAAUGAAACAUAAUACCUUCUUUUUUCGUGCAACUGAACUUAAAGUAAACUUUAAGCUGCCUACGUACCCUUUUUAUAACAUAUGGAUCAAGUCAUAACGUAGUUCAAUUAAGUUGUUUUUUUUUUUUUUCAUUCACCUUUUAAGCUAUUGUGGACUAGGAGCAUCAUGCAGUUUAGGCUCUUGUGAUAAGGAGCUUUACACAUUUAAUAAAUAUUUUCAUAAAAAAUUUGUUCACCUCAUUCAUUUGUGGAAUUGGUGAAUAUAAUAAGUCUUGGCUUCACGAUCAAGGAACCUUUUGUAUUAAUGUCAACAGACAACCUCCUCUUCAUGCGUGAUGGGACACGACUGUGAAUCUUCUCGUUAUUAUUUUCUUCAUAAUGUAAUUUUACCUUCAAAGUUUUCAUCUCUUUUUCAUGUUGAUCGUUUGUCAUUUUUAGUCGAUCAAAAACAGAUGUUGAAGGUUGAUCUUUCUUUGAUGUAGAGAUACUUAGCAUUUUGAAAGCUGAAAUUCGAGUGAAAGUAGACAUUGGACAUUGAUUUUCUUCUUUUGUGGACAUACUCAAUCUUUGAAAGACUGAAGAUCGAGUAGUUGAAGACUUGAUACGAUCAAAGAGAGAAGUCCUUUGCUUAAUUUCAUUUGAAUUGUUGACUUCUUCAGAAGAUGUAUAACUGUUGUCGACUUUUUUUAUAUUGACAACAUGACAUGCAGUGACUUCUAAUACUUCCUUGGGAUGAUCAUCAAGGAAGCUUCUUGGGAGGAAUUCACUCAAAGUUAUCGACCGUUGAGGUCGGAAGAAGUCCUCGUCUUUUCCUUUGACAGGCUUAGGCUUCCACAUCUUCUUGUUUCUUUUUCCCUUCUUUUUAUGGGAGAUGCAUCCUUUUGCAUGCUUUUGACGGAAUGACGACUCCUUUUGAAUGGAAUUUGAUGGUCUUCCUUUUCGACGAGUCACAAUUAUCCAUCCUUUGUCAUCAUAUUCAACAAGCUCUUCUUUGUUUUGGAAGUUUGUCGUCACGAUUCUUUGUUGGAAUUGGACAACUGUAGGUUGAAAAGUCCCAAAUUGAAUUAAGUUUUUCCUUUGAUCAUAAAGUUGUGUUGAUGGUGGAACACUUGAAGUAAUAUUGACCGCAACAUGAUUCGUCUCAACUAAUUCAUCAAUGUCCAGCUCGAUUUUCUUUUCACGAGCCAACUUUAGAAUCAGCUCCUUCAACACAAAACACUUUUCAACAGGAUGACUAAUGACCCGAGCAUCUGCUCUAACAUGUCUGCAACAUCAGAGUCAGAAAAUGGAUAAACUUUUUCAUGUCUUUCUUUAAGAGUUGGACGUCGCUUUUCCUCGCUAUCAUGCUUUCCUUCAAUUUUUAUUUCUUUUCUUUUAGAGAAAUUUUUCAAAGGGGUUGUAUGAACAACCAUAGACUCAUUUAUGACACUAUUUGCAAUCAUUUUAUGUCAUCAAUUUCAUUCUUGUCACUCAUCAUUUUUUGAACCAAGAAAUUUUUUACUCCUCCGUGUGUGAUACUUAGUUCCAUAUCAUAUGCACGAGUCACCAACUCUUCAAACGUGCGUGGUUUUAUCCCUUGCAAAAUAUAAAGAAGUUCCCAAUGCAUGUCUUGGGUGCACAUCUCAACUGCAAACAUUUUUGUGAGCCUGUCUUUGCAAUCUAGGCUUAGAGCUCUCCAUCGAUUUUUGUAGUCGAUGACUGGCUCCCCCUUCCACUGUUUGGUGUUUGUCAACUCCAUCAUGCUGACGAUACGUCGGGUGCUGUAGAAGCGAUUUAGAAAGUUUUCCUCAAGCUGCUUCCAACUGUCAAUGGAUUCAUGUUCUAGGUCGAUGUACCAGUUGAAGGCAUUUCCUUUUAGAGUUCGAACGAACUGUUUUACCAAUAAAUCUCCUCUCGUGCUAGCAGUUUAACAUGUUUCAAUAAAGUGAGCAACAUGUUGCCUUGGGUUACCCUUUCCAUCA